UACGUAGGGGGCAAGCGUUGUCCGGAAUCAUUGGGCGUAAAGAGCGCGUAGGCGGUCGGCAUAGUCCGUUGUGAAAACCCAGGGCUUAACCUUGGGCCUGCAAUGGAUACUGGUCGACUAGAGUUCGGUAGAGGGAAUCGGAAUUCCUAGUGUAGCGGUGAAAUGCGCAGAUAUUAGGAAGAACACCGGUGGCGAAGGCGGAUUCCUGGGCCGAUACUGACGCUGAGGCGCGAAAGCUAGGGGAGCGAACAGG
RNAcentral lists this ribosomal RNA (253 nucleotides) under uncultured bacterium. RNAcentral's name for it is "partial 16S ribosomal RNA". It matches the Rfam family "Bacterial small subunit ribosomal RNA", at positions 524 to 776 of the family's 1533-position model. The record is from RNAcentral.